Molecule: unclassified non-coding RNA, 369 nt
Filed under: Hevea brasiliensis (rubber tree)
Lineage: Eukaryota; Viridiplantae; Streptophyta; Magnoliopsida; Malpighiales; Euphorbiaceae
Source: RNAcentral
AUAGUAAUUUACCUAAAAGUUAUAAUGAAAAUUAUCAUUCAAAUUUCAGCCCGUCACUUACUGUGCAUUUUCUGACAAAUUGAACCAAUUUGCCAAUUUCAAAGUCUAAUUUAUCCAAUUUUUUUGUUUUAUGUUAAAUUGAACCUAAUUCCUAAUUUUUAUUUGAAAAUUGAUGAACAGAAUUGAAUACAUAUUACUGAAACUUGUUUUUCCCUUACGAAAUGCUUAUUAGAGGCUCAGCCACAUUCAUAGUAUCUUAGCUAUCAAAGCGUUUGAAAAGGACAUAACAGAAGAUGGAAAAGAAAUAAUCAUUGUUUAUUGAUUAAAUUUACGCAAAUUUGGGCCUAAUCAUUGUUUAUUGAUUAAAUU